Molecule: ribosomal RNA, 830 nt
Filed under: uncultured bacterium
Lineage: Bacteria
Description: bacterial SSU rRNA
Rfam family: Bacterial small subunit ribosomal RNA
Source: RNAcentral
ACACAUGCAAGUCGAACGGAGUUAUUUUGGCAGAAGCCUUCGGGUGGACGCUGAUAUAACUUAGUGGCGAACGGGUGAGUAACACGUGAGCAACCUGCCCUUCAGAGGGGGACAACAGUUGGAAACGACUGCUAAUACCGCAUAAGACCACGGUGUGGCAUCACACAGAGGUCAAAGGAGAAAUCCGCUGAAGGAUGGGCUCGCGUCCAAUUAGCUAGAUGGUGAGGUAACGGCCCACCAUGGCGACGAUUGGUAGCCGGACUGAGAGGUUGAUCGGCCACAUUGGGACUGAGACACGGCCCAGACUCCUACGGGAGGCAGCAGUGGGGAAUAUUGCACAAUGGAGGAAACUCUGAUGCAGCGACGCCGCGUGAGGGAAGAAGGUCUUCGGAUUGUAAACCUCUGUUGUCAGGGACGAUAAUGACGGUACCUGACGAGGAAGCCACGGCUAACUACGUGCCAGCAGCCGCGGUAAAACGUAGGUGGCAAGCGUUGUCCGGAAUUACUGGGUGUAAAGGGAGCGCAGGCGGGAGAGCAAGUUGGAAGUGAAAUCUGUGGGCUCAACUCACAAAUUGCUUUCAAAACUGUUUUUCUUGAGUGGUGUAGAGGUAGGCGGAAUUCCCGGUGUAGCGGUGGAAUGCGUAGAUAUCGGGAGGAACACCAGUGGCGAGGGCGGCCUACUGGGCACUAACUGACGCUGAGGCUCGAAAGCAUGGGUAGCAAACAGGAUUAGAUACCCUGGUAGUCCAUGCCGUAAACGAUGAUUACUAGGUGUGGGAGGAUUGACCCCUUCCGUGCCGCAGUUAACACAAUAAGUAAUCCACCUGGGG